AGAGUUUGAUCAUGGCUCAGAACGAACGCUGGCGGUAUGCCUAACACAUGCAAGUCGAACGCGAACGGAAUCUUCGGAUUCCAAGUAGAGUGGCGCACGGGUGAGUAACACGUGGAUAAUCUGCCCUAAGGUUUGGGAUAACACUUCGAAAGGGGUGCUAAUACCGGAUAAGCUCACGCCUUCCUCGGAAGAAGUGAGAAAAGAUUUAUUGCCUUAGGAUGAGUCCGCGGUCCAUUAGCUAGUUGGUGGGGUAAUGGCCUACCAAGGCUGCGAUGGAUAGCUGGUCUGAGAGGAUGAUCAGCCACACUGGAACUGAGACACGGUCCAGACUCCUACGGGAGGCAGCAGUGGGGAAUUUUGCGCAAUGGGGGAAACCCUGACGCAGCAAUACCGCGUGAAGGAUGAAGGCCCUUGGGUCGUAAACUUCUGUCAGUGGGGAAGAAAUGCCCGUAAGGGAGAUGACGGUACCCGCAAAGGAAGCACCGGCUAACUCCGUGCCAGCAGCCGCGGUAAUACGGAGGGUGCAAGCGUUGUUCGGAAUUAUUGGGCGUAAAGAGCAUGUAGGCGGACUAUUAAGUCUGGUGUGAAAGCCCGGGGCUCAA
RNAcentral lists this ribosomal RNA (602 nucleotides) under uncultured bacterium. RNAcentral describes it as "bacterial SSU rRNA". It matches the Rfam family "Bacterial small subunit ribosomal RNA", at positions 8 to 612 of the family's 1533-position model. The record is from RNAcentral.